GCCUUCGUGGUGUAAUGGUCAGCACACUCGGAGUGUAUUCGAGAAGUCUGAGGUUCGAGUCCCGGGGAGGGCA
Non-coding RNA from Stegodyphus mimosarum, 73 nucleotides. The record is from Rfam. NCBI's taxonomy places the organism in Eukaryota, Metazoa, Arthropoda, Arachnida, Araneae, Eresidae.